UUUUUUAUAAUUAUUUUAGGUUAAAAUUUUAGAGUUAUCGUUUUGCCCUUUUUACAAAUGAUCGAAUGCCUGACUUUUGAUCAUCAAAUGCUCAUUUGGGCAUAAUCCAUCUAGGAAUCCUUAUACCGCACAUUUAUUGAAAGGUUUGAGAUGUAGCUAAGAGGAUUUUAAAGUUUAGGACCAUGCUGCACAUUUUUGAAAGGUUUAAAACUUCUACUACAAAUUUCCCUAAUAAUAAUGUUCAUAAAUUUUCACAAGACGUGAUAGAGGAUGGUUCUCACUUCUAUAACUCAGUACGACUUUUUCAACCAAUUUACGACCAUCAAAAAAGUUUCACAUCAAUUAUCUUCUUUUAUCAAAAUUAUAACCACUUAUAAAGCGUAAACAUUAAUAAACUUACAAGGUUGCAUAUAAAUAGAAUAACAAGAAUUUGACUUGAAGAUUUGCUUACAAAUUUGACACAAAAUAUAUUUCAACAAUGUUGUGUGUACAGACAGCAUCGUUCACAGAAAUGCCACAGAAUAUUCACAAUGAGGGGGUGAGUGAUUUUUUUGGGAUUUUUUUAUUACACCAUGAGACCCUCCCAUGUGAGUGUCUGGAGCAAUUUUGUGAGAAAAAUUUCUGCGCAAACAUUUUUGAAUAUAUUUACCCUAUCAAUAACGAUUGGUGACCUGUAGCAAUUUUCUAUGUUGGAUGCAAUCCACUAAAAUCGUUACAAGUUUUACCUGAAAAUUUUGUUGAAACCAUUGGCAAAUAAAUUUUGUUUGUGUUUGUGCAUGUAGAAUAAGAUCAAGAAAUCGCAAAUUGAAUCUUAUUGUUAAUAAAUUUAAAGUCUGCUUCAUGAAUUCUUUUCUCAUUCCCUGCAAUUCGUCCAUAUUUUACUAAAACAUAUUCCAAUACAACAAAUCUUUUGCUACACAAACAUACCAUAUUAACUUUUUUCUUCGUUUCUAUCUACUAAUUUUUUUACCAAACUCUAUGAAAAUUGCAUCACAUUCACUCUUGUAAAAGAACAGAUACCUAGAUCAAUGUAAAACAUGUCUAAUCUUUUUUAUCAUUGUCCACUCACUAAUCUUCAAUCAAUAUUCGUCCACUUAUUAGUACAUAUGAUUAUUGAUACUAUAAAAAAUCAUACCUGUGAUCUUGACAAUCGAGAAUAAGCACGAAUAAGAUCUUUCGGUACCUGAAACAAAGGCGUUGAGUUGUGUCCUCCUCAUCCCUUCGAUGCUUAAAUUAUAGAGAGAAUUUGUGUGUGAGGCUAUAA
RNAcentral lists this long non-coding RNA (1264 nucleotides) under Olea europaea subsp. europaea. The record is from RNAcentral. Lineage: Eukaryota; Viridiplantae; Streptophyta; Magnoliopsida; Lamiales; Oleaceae.